This 256-nucleotide ribosomal RNA is filed under the name uncultured Actinomycetales bacterium. Its description in RNAcentral is "partial 16S ribosomal RNA". It matches the Rfam family "Bacterial small subunit ribosomal RNA", at positions 77 to 334 of the family's 1533-position model. Lineage: Bacteria; Bacillati; Actinomycetota; Actinomycetes; Actinomycetales. The record is from RNAcentral.
CUUUUGUGGGGUGCUCGAGUGGCGAACGGGUGAGUAACACGUUAGUAACCUGCCCUUGACUUUGGGAUAACUUCAGGAAACUGGGGCUAAUACCGGAUAGGAGCUCCUGCUGCAUGGUGGGGGUUGGAAAGUUUCGGCGGUUGGGGAUGGACUCGCGGCUUAUCAGCUUGUUGGUGGGGUAGUGGCUUACCAAGGCUUUGACGGGUAGCCGGCCUGAGAGGGUGACCGGCCACAUUGGGACUGAGAUACGGCCCAG